AUCUAGCUGAAGAGUCCCAAAUAGGACGAAAUGCGCAUCCUGGAU
RNAcentral lists this non-coding RNA (45 nucleotides) under Schistosoma mansoni. The record is from RNAcentral. Lineage: Eukaryota; Metazoa; Platyhelminthes; Trematoda; Strigeidida; Schistosomatidae.